This 464-nucleotide ribosomal RNA is filed under the name uncultured bacterium. RNAcentral's name for it is "partial 16S ribosomal RNA". It matches the Rfam family "Bacterial small subunit ribosomal RNA", at positions 339 to 795 of the family's 1533-position model. The record is from RNAcentral.
CUACGGGAGGCAGCAGUGGGGAAUAUUGCACAAUGGGCGCAAGCCUGAUGCAGCCAUGCCGCGUGUAUGAAGAAGGCCUUCGGGUUGUAAAGUACUUUCAGCGGGGAGGAAGGGAGUAAAGUUAAUACCUUUGCUCAUUGACGUUACCCGCAGAAGAAGCACCGGCUAACUCCGUGCCAGCAGCCGCGGUAAUACGGAGGGUGCAAGCGUUAAUCGGAAUUACUGGGCGUAAAGCGCACGCAGGCGGUUUGUUAAGUCAGAUGUGAAAUCCCCGGGCUCAACCUGGGAACUGCAUCUGAUACUGGCAAGCUUGAGUCUAGUAGAGGGGGGUAGAAUUCCAGGUUUAGCGGUGAAAUGCGUAGAGAUCUGGAGGAAUACCGGUGGCGAAGGCGGCCCCCUGGACGAAGACUGACGCUCAGGUGCGAAAGCGUGGGGAGCAAACAGGAUUAGAUACCCUAGUAGUC